UACAGAGACUGCAAGCGUUAUUCGGAUUCACUGGGCGUAAAGGGUGCGCAGGCGGCCAAGUGUGUGAGGCGUGAAAGCCUGGGGCUUAACCCCAGAAUUGCACCUCAAACUACUUGGCUAGAGCAUUGGAGAGGGUAGCAGAAUUCAUGGUGUAGCAGUGAAAUGCGCAGAUAUCAGGAAGAACACCCGUGGCGAAGGCGGCUCUCUGGGACGGUACUGACGCUGCGACGCGAAAGCGUGGGGAGCAAACAGG
This 253-nucleotide ribosomal RNA is filed under the name uncultured bacterium. Its description in RNAcentral is "partial 16S ribosomal RNA". It matches the Rfam family "Bacterial small subunit ribosomal RNA", at positions 524 to 776 of the family's 1533-position model. The record is from RNAcentral.